AAGUCGUAACAAGGUUUCCGUAGGUGAACCUGCGGAAGGAUCAUUAUUGAAUAAGCUUGGUUGGGUUGUUGCUGGCUCUCAGGGGCAUGUGCACGCCUAACACCAACUUUUACCACCUGUGCACAUUUUGUAGACCUGGAUAAAACUCUCGAGGAAACUCGGUUUGAGGAAUGCUGUGCGCAAGCCAGCUUUCCUUGUACUUCUGGUCUAUGUUUUUAUAUAUACACACACCCCUAUAGUAUGUCUCGGAAUGUUUGUUUGUUGGGCUUGAAUGCCUUUAAACUUAAUACAACUUUCAACAACGGAUCUCUUGGCUCUCGCAUCGAUGAAGAACGCAGCGAAAUGCGAUAAGUAAUGUGAAUUGCAGAAUUCAGUGAAUCAUCGAAUCUUUGAACGCACCUUGCGCUCCUUGGUAUUCCGAGGAGCAUGCCUGUUUGAGUGUCAUGAAAUUCUCAACCUUUUCAGCUUUUUCUGUUGAUCAGGCUUGGAUGUGGGAGUAUGCGGGCUUCUCAGAAGUCGGCUCUCCUGAAAUGCAUUAGCGGGACCUUUGUUGCCUUGCUUUGGUNUGNUUUAUCUACGCCAUUCGUGAAGAGCAGCUUUAUANNNNNNNACUGCGAGUGAGCGGGAAAAGCUCAAAUUUAAAUCUGAGGGUCUUUAUGGNNUUCCGAGUUGUAAUCUAGAGAAGUGCUAUCCGCGCUGGACCGNGUACAAGUCUCCUGGAACGGAGCGUCAUAGAGGGUGAGAAUCCCGUCUUUGACACGGACUACCAGGGCUUAUGUGAUACGCUCUCAAAGAGUCGAGUUGUUUGGGAAUGCAGCUCUAAAUGGGUGGUAAAUUCCAUCUAAAGCUAAGUAUUGGCGAGAGACCGAUAGCGAACAAGUACCGUGAGGGAAAGAUGAAAAGAACUUUGGAAAGAGAGUUAAAAAGUACGUGAAAUUGUUGAAAGGGAAACGCUUGAAGUCAGUCGCAUUGGCCAGGGAUCAACCUUGCUUUUGCUUGGUGUAUUUUCUGGUUAAUGGGUCAGCAUCAAUUUUGAUCGGUGGAAAAAGAUCAAGGGAAUGUGGCAUCUUCGGAUGUGUUAUAGCCCUUGGUUGUAUACAUCGAUUGGGAUUGAGGAACUCAGCACGCCGCAAGGCCGGGUUUUUAACCACGUACGUGCUUAGGAUGCUGGCAUAAUGGCUUUAAUCGACCCGUCUUGAAACACGGACC
Molecule: ribosomal RNA, 1209 nt
Filed under: uncultured fungus
Lineage: Eukaryota; Fungi
Description: eukaryotic LSU rRNA
Rfam family: Eukaryotic large subunit ribosomal RNA (bases 570-1209)
Source: RNAcentral